Molecule: ribosomal RNA, 448 nt
Filed under: uncultured bacterium
Lineage: Bacteria
Description: SSU rRNA
Rfam family: Bacterial small subunit ribosomal RNA
Source: RNAcentral
AGAGCGAACGCUGGCGGCAGGCCUAACACAUGCAAGUCGAGCGGCCGUAGCAAUACGGCAGCGGCAGACGGGAGAGUAACACGUGGGAACGCGCCCUUCGGUUCGGAAUAACUCAGGGAAACUUGAGCUAAUACCGAAUACGCCCUUACGGGGAAAGAUUUAUUGCCGAAGGAACGGCCCGCGUCCGAUUAGCUAGUUGGUGAGGUAAUGGCUCACCAAGGCGACGAUCGGUAGCUGGUCUGAGAGGAUGACCAGCCUCACUGGGACUGAGACACGGCCCAGACUCCUACGGGAGGCAGCAGUGGGGAAUAUUGGACAAUGGGCGCAAGCCUGAUCCAGCCAUGCCGCGUGGAUGAUGAAGGCCUUAGGGUUGUAAAGUCCUUUUAACGGGGAAGAUAAUGACGGUACCCGUAGAAUAAGCCCCGGCUAACUUCGCGCCAGCAGCCGC